Molecule: ribosomal RNA, 497 nt
Filed under: uncultured bacterium
Lineage: Bacteria
Description: bacterial SSU rRNA
Rfam family: Bacterial small subunit ribosomal RNA
Source: RNAcentral
GACGAACGCUGGCGGCGUGCUUAACACAUGCAAGUCGAACGGAAAGGCCCUUUCGGGGGUACUCGAGUGGCGAACGGGUGAGUAACACGUGGGUGAUCUGCCCUGCACUUCGGGAUAAGCUUGGGAAACUGGGUCUAAUACCGGAUAGGACUACGGCAUGCAUGUGCUGUGGUGGAAAGCUUUUGCGGUGUGGGAUGGGCCCGCGGCCUAUCAGCUUGUUGGUGGGGUGAUGGCCUACCAAGGCGACGACGGGUAGCCGGCCUGAGAGGGUGUCCGGCCACACUGGGACUGAGAUACGGCCCAGACUCCUACGGGAGGCAGCAGUGGGGAAUAUUGCACAAUGGGCGCAAGCCUGAUGCAGCGACGCCGCGUGGGGGAUGACGGCCUUCGGGUUGUAAACCUCUUUCACCAUCGGCGAAGCCUCAUGCUUUUGUGUGGGGUGACGGUAGGUGGAGAAGAAGCACCGGCCAACUACGUGCCAGCCGCCGCCGUAACAC